GAUGAACGCUGGCGGCGUGCCUAAUACAUGCAAGUCGAGCGAACAGACGAGGAGCUUGCUCCUCUGACGUUAGCGGCGGACGGGUGAGUAACACGUGGAUAACCUACCUAUAAGACUGGGAUAACUUCGGGAAACCGGAUCUAAUACCGGAUAAUAUAUUGAACCGCAUGGUUCAAUAGUGAAAGACGGUUUUGCUGUCACUUAUAGAUGGAUCCGCGCCGCAUUAGCUAGUUGGUAAGGUAACGGCUUACCAAGGCCACGAUGCGUAGCCGACCUGAGAGGGUGAUCGGCCACACUGGAACUGAGACACGGUCCAGACUCCUACGGGAGGCAGCAGUAGGGAAUCUUCCGCAAUGGGCGAAAGCCUGACGGAGCAACGCCGCGUGAGUGAUGAAGGCCUUCGGAUCGUAAAACUCUGUUAUUAGGGAAGAACAAAUGUGUAAGUAUCUAUGCACGUCUUGACGGUACCUAAUGAGAAAGCCCCGGCUAACUACGUG
This 497-nucleotide ribosomal RNA is filed under the name uncultured bacterium. RNAcentral describes it as "partial 16S ribosomal RNA". It matches the Rfam family "Bacterial small subunit ribosomal RNA", at positions 28 to 507 of the family's 1533-position model. The record is from RNAcentral.